UACGGAGGGGGCGAGCGUUAUUCGGAAUCAUUGGGCGUAAAGCGUGCGCAGGCGGUUCGUUAUGUCCGUUGUGAAAGCCCCGGGCUCAACCUGGGAAUGGCAAUGGAAACUGGCGGGCUAGAGUGUGGCAGAGGGGGGUGGAAUUCCGCGUGUAGCAGUGAAAUGCGUAGAGAUGCGGAGGAACACCGAUGGCGAAGGCAGCCCCCUGGGCUAGCACUGACGCUCAGGCACGAAAGCGUGGGGAGCAAACAGG
This 253-nucleotide ribosomal RNA is filed under the name uncultured bacterium. RNAcentral describes it as "partial 16S ribosomal RNA". It matches the Rfam family "Bacterial small subunit ribosomal RNA", at positions 524 to 776 of the family's 1533-position model. The record is from RNAcentral.